CCAGACUCCUACGGGAGGCAGCAGUGGGGAAUAUUGCACAAUGGGCGCAAGCCUGAUGCAGCCAUGCCGCGUGUAUGAAGAAGGCCUUCGGGUUGUAAAGUACUUUCAGUCGGGAGGAAGGUGGUAAGGUUAAUAACCUUAUCAAUUGACGUUACCGACAGAAGAAGCACCGGCUAACUCCGUGCCAGCAGCCGCGGUAAUACGGAGGGUGCAAGCGUUAAUCGGAAUUACUGGGCGUAAAGCGCACGCAGGCGGUCUGUCAAGUCGGAUGUGAAAUCCCCGGGCUCAACCUGGGAACUGCAUUCGAAACUGGCAGGCUGGAGUCUUGUAGAGGGGGGUAGAAUUCCAGGUGUAGCGGUGAAAUGCGUAGAGAUCUGGAGGAAUACCGGUGGCGAAGGCGGCCCCCUGGACAAAGACUGACGCUCAGGUGCGAAAGCGUGGGGAGCAAACAGGAUUAGAUACCCCUGUACAC
Molecule: ribosomal RNA, 472 nt
Filed under: uncultured bacterium
Lineage: Bacteria
Description: bacterial SSU rRNA
Rfam family: Bacterial small subunit ribosomal RNA
Source: RNAcentral